Molecule: ribosomal RNA, 461 nt
Filed under: uncultured Actinomyces sp.
Lineage: Bacteria; Bacillati; Actinomycetota; Actinomycetes; Actinomycetales; Actinomycetaceae
Description: bacterial SSU rRNA
Rfam family: Bacterial small subunit ribosomal RNA
Source: RNAcentral
UACGGGCGGCUGCCGUGGGGAAUAUUGCACAAUGGGCGGAAGCCUGAUGCCGCGACGUCGCGUGAGGGCUGGAGGCCUUCGGGUUGUGAACCUCUUUCGCCAGUGAGGAAGGCCUUGCCCGUGUGGUGGGGUUGACGGUAGCUGGGUUAAUUGAAGCGCCGGCUAACUACGUGCCAGCAGCCGCGGUAAUACGUAGGGCGCGAGCGUUGUCCGGAAUUAUUGGGCGUAAAGGGCGUGUAGGCGGUUGGUCGCGUCUGCCGUGAAAUCCUCUGGCUCAGCUGGGGGCGUGCGGUGGGUACGGGCUGGCUUGAGUGCGGUAGGGGAGGCUGGAACUCCUGGUGUAGCGGUGGAAUGCGCAGAUAUCAGGAGGAACACCGGUGGCGAAGGCGGGUCUCUGGGCCGUUACUGACGCUGAGGAGCGAAAGCGUGGGGAGCGAACAGGAUUAGAUACCCUGGUAGUC